RNAcentral lists this ribosomal RNA (441 nucleotides) under uncultured bacterium. Its description in RNAcentral is "partial 16S ribosomal RNA". It matches the Rfam family "Bacterial small subunit ribosomal RNA", at positions 338 to 795 of the family's 1533-position model. The record is from RNAcentral.
CCUACGGGAGGCAGCAGUGGGGAAUAUUGCACAAUGGGGGAAACCCUGAUGCAGCGACGCCGCGUGAGUGAAGAAGUAUUUCGGUAUGUAAAGCUCUAUCAGCAGGGAAGAAGAAAGACGGUACCUGACUACGAAGCCCCGGCUAACUACGUGCCAGCAGCCGCGGUAAUCCGUAGGGGGCAAGCGUUAUCCGGAUUUACUGGGUGUAAAGGGAGCGUAGACGGCUGUGCAAGUCUGAAGUGAAAGCCCAGGGCUCAACCCUGGGACUGCUUUGGAAACUGUGGAGCUAGAGUGCUGGAGAGGUAAGUGGAAUUCCUAGUGUAGCGGUGAAAUGCGUAGAUAUUAGGAGGAACACCAGUGGCGAAGGCGGCUUACUGGACAGUAACUGACGUUGAGGCUCGAAAGCGUGGGGAGCAAACAGGAUUAGAUACCCUUGUAGUC